This 259-nucleotide long non-coding RNA is filed under the name Selaginella moellendorffii. RNAcentral's name for it is "long non-coding RNA (SMOE_LNC000098)". Lineage: Eukaryota; Viridiplantae; Streptophyta; Lycopodiopsida; Selaginellales; Selaginellaceae. The record is from RNAcentral.
UUUUUCUCAUUUUUUCUCGAAGUAGGGUUUUACAAUCGUUUGGAGUGAGCGCGGCUUCGGAUGAUCCACCAAAGCUGACAUUUCUGGAGGUGAGUGGUCCUCUAUUCCGUUCGCAGAUAACAAUUAUAGGGGUUGGAACAGGAGAAAAUGCUGGAUGAAUUUGAUUUCCAGAGAGAACAUUGGCCUACAACGCUGAACAGGAUGAGAAUCAACAAAUCUCAAACCCUCCCUUGGUGCCGCUGUGUCGGUUGCAACCUGC